This 916-nucleotide ribosomal RNA is filed under the name uncultured bacterium. RNAcentral's name for it is "bacterial SSU rRNA". It matches the Rfam family "Bacterial small subunit ribosomal RNA", at positions 10 to 916 of the family's 1533-position model. The record is from RNAcentral.
AGUUUGAUCCUGGCUCAGGAUGAACGCUAGCUACAGGCUUAACACAUGCAAGUCGAGGGGCAGCGGUAUCGAAAGCUUGCUUUCGGUAGCCGGCGACCGGCGCACGGGUGAGUAACGCGUAUCGAACCUGCCUCAUACUCGGGAAUAGCCUUGCGAAAGUAAGAUUAAUGCCCGGUGUUUUCAGAGUCCCGCAUGAGGCUUUGAACAAAGAUUUAUCGGUAUGAGAUGGCGAUGCGUCCCAUUAGCUUGUUGGCGGGGUAACGGCCCACCAAGGCAUCGAUGGGUAGGGGUUCUGAGAGGAAGGUCCCCCACAUUGGAACUGAGACACGGUCCAAACUCCUACGGGAGGCAGCAGUGAGGAAUAUUGGUCAAUGGGCGGAAGCCUGAACCAGCCAAGUAGCGUGCAGGAAGACGGCCCUCCGGGUUGUAAACUGCUUUUAGUUGGGAAUAAAACGGGGCUCGUGAGCCCCCUUGCAUGUACCAUCAGAAAAAGGACCGGCUAAUUCCGUGCCAGCAGCCGCGGUAAUACGGAAGGUCCGGGCGUUAUCCGGAUUUAUUGGGUUUAAAGGGAGCGCAGGCGGACCUUUAAGUCAGCUGUGAAAUACGGCGGCUCAACCGUCGAACUGCAGUUGAUACUGGAGGUCUUGAGUGCACACAGGGAUGCUGGAAUUCAUGGUGUAGCGGUGAAAUGCUCAGAUAUCAUGAAGAACUCCGAUCGCGAAGGCAGGCAUCCGGGGUGCAACUGACGCUGAGGCUCGAAAGUGCGGGUAUCAAACAGGAUUAGAUACCCUGGUAGUCCGCACAGUAAACGAUGAAUACUCGCGGUUUGCGAUACAAUGUAAGCCGCCAAGCGAAAGCGUUAAGUAUUCCACCUGGGGAGUACGCCGGCAACGGUGAAACUCAAAGGAAUUGACGG